CCAUGCCCGGCUAAUUUUGUAUUUUUAGUAGAGACAGGGUUUCUCCAUGUUUGUCAGGCUGGUCUUGAACUCCUGACCUCAGGUGAUCCACCCGCCUCAGCCUCCCAAAGUACUGGGAUUACAGGCGUGAGCCACUACGCCCAGCCAUUUAAGUUUUAUUGAACAUCAAUUCUGUGCCAGGCAUUGUGCUAGCACUUGGUGUAUAGUGAAGAACAGAGAGAAAGGCAACUCCUAACCAACUGGAGUUCUCUUUCUAAUGGGGCCACAAACCAUAUAAAUGUGAUCACAUAAAUAAUCAUUUAAUUACAGGUUUAAUCAGUGCAAGGAAGGAAAAUGACAGAGAGUAAUGAGCAUGGAUAAUGGGGGAACUUACCAUCCCUCAACAGUAAGGGGUCGGGGCUGAACAGGGGAGGUUGGGUCAGACCUGAAGAAUGAGUAAGAGUCAGCUAGUCAAGGAGAAAGAAGUUUCUGGGUAGAGGUGGGCUUCUGCCAAAAUGUUGGAUGAAAACUUUAUGGUGUGUUGCCUUGACUGGAGGUCUUAAUUCUUAGCUGAGUACUCCCAAAAUGAUAAAUAUUUAAUGGUGGAAUCUUUGAGAGGCUUGUGACCAGCAGAUAGGAUCAGGAGGCUUUCUCAUUAGCCUUCAAACCAAGCCAUAUGGCUAGGAGGCCUGGCUCUGGGUAUGUAGUGUGUGUGUGUGAGCAUGAGUGUGUAGGAGUGUGACUGCAUGUUUGUGACUGUGAAUGUCAAUGCGGGUGUAUAUGGAUAGAUGCAGAGCUAUAACAGAUAAUUUUGGCAUCUGGGUCAAGCAACAGAAAUAUAUCUUGAAAGUCAGGCAUACAUCAGUUCAGGAGGGAGUUGGAAGGGAGCAGAGAAGAAAGACUGCUCUCCCACAUGCACACAGGAGCCUCCUACAAGUGGGUUCCCUGUUCAUGCCUUAGACAUUCCAGGUCAGCCAUCUCUGCCAAGAGUCAGGGGCAAGCUAGCCAGCACUUCUAGAGAAGGACUGGUGCUGAAGAUUGGGGGAGGAGAAGCCUUUAAAAUGUGCACAAUCUUUGAGAAAAUAAUUCUUUAAAAUGUUGGCACGCUCCACAUUUUUGUUCCUGGGCCCCUGGUGAGUGUGCCUUUAAGACUCUGAAUGUAUAUGUGCAUAUAUGUGUGUAUGUGUGUGUUGACUGUGCUUAUGUGUAUAUGAAUAGGUGUUGGGGACUACCAUGUAAAUUGUGAUAACUAAGAGCCCCUGCGAGUUUGGAGCCAGCAGAUGUGUUCCUGCACUCCUCCCCUCCCACUUUAUGUGCUCUGACACUCCCACUAUGCUUAUCUCUGUAGCUCUCAUCAGAAGCAGAGGCUGGGAUUAUCUGCCUAGGGCUGAGUCCCUUCAUAUUAACAACAGACUGAAGAUGUACUGACUGCAACGAGACAAAUAGAAAUAAUAUGGUCACAUUCACCUCCAUUUCAUAAAGCAAGUGGAACCUGGGCUCACUGCGAUGAAUGAGCUUCAAUAAUUCAUCCCAGCUGCUGGUGUGCCUUCAAUGCAAUGAGAGAGAAUAACAUUAAGGAAUAGCUUUGGAAUGGGAAGAACUCUCUGAACCCUGAAGGAUGAGAAGUCUGGAAAAGAGAGUGGGAAGAGUAGACCAGAAGGAGGAAAAGCCACAUAUUUAAGGUUUUGCUUCUUGCUGCAAGCAGAUUCCUUGGCUUUACCUUCAGAGCUUUUGACUCAAUGCAGAAAUGGAAAAGCCAAUCCUUAAAUUCAAAUGGAAUUGCAGCGGACCCCAAAUAGCCAAAGCAAUCUUGAAAAAGAAGAACAAAGCUGGAAGACUUACACUUCCUGAUUUCAAAACGUAUUACAAAGCUACAGUAAUCAAAAUAGUGUGAUAGUAGCAUAAAGGAUAGAGAGAUAUAUAUCAACGAAAUAGAAUUGAGAGUCCAAAAAUAUACUAAUACAGCUAUGGGGUCAAUUGAUUUUUGACAAGGGUGCCAAGAGCAUUCAAUGGGCAAAAAAUAGUGUCUUCAACAAAUAGUGCUGGGACAACUGGAUAUCCACAUACAAAAAAGGAAGAAGAAGGAGAAGGAGGAGAAGAAGAAGAGGAAGGAAGAGGAGGAGGAGGAAGAGAAAGAAGGAGGAAGAAGAAGGAAGAAGAAGGAGAAAGAAAGAAGAACAAAGAAGAAAGUUGGACCCCUUACCUCGUACCAUAUACAAAUAUUAACUCACUAAGGAGCUUCUGGAUAGCUGAACACAUGAAGAUACUUGGAGGGAAGGUGGCAUGCCUAGAGAUGUAUGAAAGCUCUAUGCCCCUUCCCACAUGGCUUGACCUAUCCAUCUCUCCAUCUGGCUGUUCAUCUUUAAAAUACCCCUUAUGAUAAAUGGGUAAAUGCUACAUGUUCACUUGGCAUCCUAGGUCAGGCAUUUGGUCUCCACCAGAGCCCAGGAACAAGCCCAGGAGCUGUAUAUUUUAUUUUUUCAAAGUGUGAAUGAGUUAUUUGUGUAAAAAGACAUAGCUGCAAUACAAAACUCUAGGAGUCUACGUCAUGAUUCCUCUAUCAGGGAUUCCCAGAUGGUUCACCAGCAUUCCUAUCUGCAAUAGACAUUUGGAGCACUGUUGAAUCUGCUGGGUCAUAAGGCCCAAGCAGGAAAGCAGCUUAUAUCAUACCUGCAAUAGCUUCAGAAACUUUUCUUGCUCUGGUCCUGUAUUAGCUUUCUAUUGCUAUGUAACAAAUUACCACAAACUUAGUGGCCUAAAACAAAAACAAAAAACAAACAAAAAUUUUGAACUCAUUAUGUAUCAAAUACCUAAAUGUAAGAGCAAAAAGUGUAAAACCUUUAGGAGAAAACAUAAGGGUAAAUAUUCAUGACUUUGGAUUUGGCAAUGGUUUCUUUUUUUUUUUUUUUUUUUUUUGAGAGCGGUCUUGCUUUCAUCCCCCAGGCUUGAGUGCAAUGGCUCAAUCUCGGCUCACUGCAACAUCCGCCUCCCGGGUUCAAACGAUUCUCCUGCCUCUGCCUCCCAAGUAGCUGGGAGCAAAGUGCCGGCCAUCACGCCCGGCUAAUUUUUAUAUUUUUUAGUAGAGACAGGGUUCCACCAUGUUGGCCAGGCUGGUCUCGAACUCCUGACCUUAGGUGAUCUGCCCGCCUCAGCCUCCCAAAGUGCUGGGAUUACAGGCAUGAGACACCACGCUCGGCCUGGCAAUGGUUUCUUAAACAUGAUAUCAAAACCACAUGCAACAAAAAGUAAGUAUGGAUACACUGGACUUCAGCAAAAUUAAAAACUUUCAUGCAUCAGAGAACAUCUUCAAGAAAGUGAAAAGACACUUUUCAUUUCAUUUGUCAAUUUGCAAAUCACAUAUCCAAUAAACUUCUAGUAUCCAGAAUAUAUAAAGGACUCAUAAUUUGAUAACAAAAAGACAAUCCUUUUUUUCUGAGACAAGGUCUCACUCUGUCACCCAGGCUAGAGUACAGUGGAAAGAUCACAGUUCAUUGCAGCCUCAACCUUCCUGGGGCUCAAGUGAUCCUCCCACCUGAGCCUCCUGAGUAGCUGGGACUACAGGUGCCACCAUGCCAGGCUAAUUUUUUGUAUUUUUUCGUAGAGAUGGGGUUUUGCCAUGUUGCCCCAGCUGGUCUCAAACUCUUGGGCUCAAGUGAUCCACACUCUUUGGCCUCCCAAAGUGCUGGGAUUGCAGGUGUGAGCACCCUGCCUGGCCUAGAUAACUCAAUUUUUUAAAUGAGCAAAGGACUUGAAUAGACAUUUCUCUAAAGAAGACAUAUAAAUGGCCAAAAAGUACAUGAAAAGAUGCUCAACAUCAUUAGUCAUUACGGAAAUGCAAAUCAAAACUACAAUGAGAUACCACUUUAUACCCACUGUGAUGGCUAUAAUUAAGGAAAAGAACAAGUAUUGGCAAGAAUGUGGGGACACUGAAACCCUUGGGCCUUCCUGAUGGGAACAUAAAAUGGUACAGCCACUGUGGAAAACAGUUGGUGGUUCCUUAAAAUGUUAAACAUAGAAUUGCCGUAUGACCCAGCAG
RNAcentral lists this long non-coding RNA (4015 nucleotides) under Homo sapiens (human). RNAcentral's name for it is "HSALNT0095506". Lineage: Eukaryota; Metazoa; Chordata; Mammalia; Primates; Hominidae. The record is from RNAcentral.